This is a long non-coding RNA of Triticum aestivum (bread wheat), 2354 nucleotides long. RefSeq lists it as uncharacterized. The record is from RefSeq and is a predicted model, not a curated record. Lineage: Eukaryota; Viridiplantae; Streptophyta; Magnoliopsida; Poales; Poaceae. The transcript is spliced from 2 exons.
GGCGUGAUUGGAUUGCACAGGAGAUCUCAAAUCGUGAUUAGAUCCCAAACGUCGUGUGAUCUAAUCUCUAACUGCUUUGGGGUAGUCUGGGUAUUUCCUUUACAAAGGUCAGAUUCGCUAUGGAAGACCUAAUCACGUGGGAGGCUUGGCCUAUAUAAAGGCAGCCCUUUCCCUGUGUCCCCGUGGCCUCAUCUUCGAUUUGGGGAUCUGGAGCUGGACUCUGGCUCGAUCUACAAGGCGUUUUCGCAUGCUCCUCUCUUUUGCCUUGUGUUAUUUCUUUCUUUUUCUCUUGGAUUUUGUCAUUUAGAUGGAUAAUGUUGGAUUUGUUCUCUUGUUUGUUCAAUUUUGUAAAUUUCUCCGUUUGAUUGUUCGAUCAUGUCUCUUGAUUAUUCUCUUAGAUCUGAAAUAUAUAUUUUUUUGCCUCCUUCUCUUUUAUCUUAACAUUAUGUGGUUCUAGAUCUGCUCUCACACCUUUAAGCAUAUUGACAUCUUCUCUCAACAUCAUCCUCUUCCGUGCUCGAUGCGAUUGGGGCCAUAAUCGCUCGCCGCGCCUUCAAGAACCUUUGAAGCAUCUGACAUUCUCAAACCCUAAUAUUGGUUCAGAUCUGUCAAGACCCCUAAAGUUGGUGAUGAAGAAUUAAGGCAAUGACAUAUGAAAAGAUGAAUCUGCAACAGAUUUCAAGAAAUCCCUGACAAUAUCAGCAAGCCAACGGGGAAGAGUGCCAAUGCUCCUUCAGAAUCUCCACGGCAUGAUCAACGGCAUAUAUUAUCAUCUUCUUCACCUGCGCCAAAUAGAAGGUAAGGUUGUCAAGUAAUGGUUCAUGGUUAUCGAUGCAAUUAUUUACAAGUAAAAUUAGUCAAUAUGCAUCGGAAAAGAUAAUGUGUGUUCUUUGUUGCAACAUACAUCAAAAUUCAAAUCGUAUGAUCAGCCCUAAAUUUCGGCCCAACUAAAAGCCCACCUGAAACAGUACCACUCUGAUGCCCUAAUCCACUCUUCUCUAGAAAUUACAUAUCUUUGCAAAAGUUACCCCAAAAUGCAUUAGUGCCGACACGUGGUGGGUUUUCUCUACAAAUUUACGGGGUUUUUUUACCAUCGGAGGAGAAAAGGCAUGUUAUCUCUAAAUUUAAAAAUGUUUUCACCUUGCAUUUCCUUUCAUUACGCGUUUGAUAGCCUGCAUACAGCCCAGGCCCACUGGAUGCAGCUUUUUUGGUUAUAUGCAAACACAGUUGGGCCUGCACGGCACGAUAGUAUCCAGCAGGCCCGAGUUAUGCUCUCGAGCCCACGUGGAUGACUCUGACAACACUUUGCAGGUAUUUUCCUAUAAUCACCUUUUAAUCUCCUUCAUCGCUUCUACAUAAUCAUGCUUCGAUUCAGGAAAAGUUAUACACAAAAAAUAUGCACCUCGAUGUUCUAAUUCCAUUCAAGCGAUCGGAUCAUAGUUUCGUUCACUGUAUGUGUUGAAUUUCGUGUUCAUAUUUGAAUCUUUUUUGGACAAACUUUGACAAAUUCAUGGCAGACGGUUGACCGUUUGAAGUUUCCUUUGACUAGUAGCUUCACCUUGCUGUCUGACACAACUUUCGUGUUGUGGGUUUUUCAUUUCACAAAUCAUAGAUGAAUAGAUCUACAUACGACCAGUGUACUGUAAUCACUGUAAUCGAUUCCUAAUCACCCUCCUAUUCUCCUUCAUUCGUAAUCUCGUUCACCAGUCUCUUCUAAUCUACACAACCGUGCAUCGAUUUGAUAUAAGUUGUACAUGAAAAAGAUGCACGGCGUUGUUGUGGUUCCAUUCAGACAAUUGGUUCGUAAUGUAGAUGUUCAAUUUCGUGUUUAUGUUUGAAGCUAUUUUGGAUGAAUUUCGAUACAUUCAUCAUGUACUGUUCACCGUUUGAGUUUUCCUUCGAUGGUAGGGAUUGAAGAACUGCCAUGGCCAACCUGGUACUUUGUGAAGGCGUGUGUGCGCCGUAGUCAGCAUCGUCGCCGACCUUGUGCCAUGCGGGAAGCUUCGAUGGCAUCUCGCCGCCAGUCUCGUUCUACAAUUAGGUGUGGCUGCCGGCGUCGGCUUGUUUGGCUUUAGUUGCGACGUGGAGGUAGCCCUUGUGCCCUGCCUCUGCUGGUACACCGACAUCGACCAGUAGUCAUGCCCCUGGUUGUCGUAGUCGUCCCGCCUGUGGUCACCGAAGCACUCGUGUGCAUUCUACUGUAAUCUCUAUGUUCAAGUGUAGUUAUCAACUCCUAAUCACCAUACAUGUAUGCAACCAAACAUCAGGUGAAAUUUGUUUUCAUGAUGACAAGACCUCAUAUGCAGGCAACCAAACAACAUGCAAACGUCGUGUUUUACCCUGUGUUUCCUCAA